RNAcentral lists this ribosomal RNA (434 nucleotides) under uncultured bacterium. Its description in RNAcentral is "partial 16S ribosomal RNA". It matches the Rfam family "Bacterial small subunit ribosomal RNA", at positions 341 to 792 of the family's 1533-position model. The record is from RNAcentral.
ACGGGAGGCAGCAGUGGGGGAUAUUGCACAAUGGGGGAAACCCUGAUGCAGCGACGCCGCGUGAGUGAUGAAGUAUUUCGGUAUGUAAAGCUCUAUCAGCAGGGAAGAUAAUGACGGUACCUGACUAAGAAGCACCGGCUAAAUACGUGCCAGCAGCCGCGGUAAUACGUAUGGUGCAAGCGUUAUCCGGAUUUACUGGGUGUAAAGGGAGCGUAGACGGCGAGGCAAGCCAGAUGUGAAAGGCUGGGGCUCAACCCCGGGACUGCAUUUGGAACUGUCUGGCUAGAGUAUCGGAGAGGUAAGUGGAAUUCCUAGUGUAGCGGUGAAAUGCGCAGAUAUUAGGAGGAACACCAGUGGCGAAGGCGGCUUACUGGACGAUAACUGACGUUGAGGCUCGAAAGCGUGGGGAGCAAACAGGAUUAGAUACCCUGGUA